Molecule: ribosomal RNA, 309 nt
Filed under: uncultured archaeon
Lineage: Archaea
Description: bacterial SSU rRNA
Rfam family: Archaeal small subunit ribosomal RNA
Source: RNAcentral
UGGCCGAGCAAGUUCGUCGGGAAAUCCACCAGCCCAACUGGUGGACGUCCGGCGAAAACUGUUCGGCUUGGAGCCGGAAGACCCAAGGGGUACGUCCGGGGUAGGAGUGAAAUCCUGUAAUCCCGGACGGACCGCCGAUGGCGAAAGCACCUUGGGAAGACGGACUCGACAGUGAGGGACGAAAGCUGGGGUCUCGAACCGGAUUAGAUACCCGGGUAGUCCCAGCCGUAAACGAUGCCUGCUAGGUGUGGCACUGGCUACGAGCCAGUGCUGUGCCGUAGGGAAGCCGUGAAGCAGGCCGCCUGGGAA